This 597-nucleotide ribosomal RNA is filed under the name Eriogonum villiflorum. Its description in RNAcentral is "eukaryotic LSU rRNA". The stretch from base 225 to 380 matches the Rfam family "5.8S ribosomal RNA". The record is from RNAcentral. Lineage: Eukaryota; Viridiplantae; Streptophyta; Magnoliopsida; Caryophyllales; Polygonaceae.
UCGAAACCUGCACAGCAGAACGACCCGCGAACUCGUUUACCAACACCCGAGGGGCAGGGCCUGCCCUGUCUCCCUCGGAGCUGGAACGCGCCUCUCGGCGCGCGACGGCAAGUACCCAAACACCGGCGCGGGUUGCGCCAAGGACURUGAAAUUCUACCGCGUCCUGCGGCCUCGGGAGACCGGGCGCCGCGGCGAUGGCGKGUGAAAUAAUAAAAAAUGAAACGACUCUCGGCAACGGAUAUCUCGGCUCUCGCAUCGAUGAAGAACGUAGCGAAAUGCGAUACUUGGUGUGAAUUGCAGAAUCCCGUGAACCAUCGAGUCUUUGAACGCAAGUUGCGCCCGAAGCCAUCCGGCUGAGGGCACGUCUGCCUGGGCGUCACGCAUCGCGUCGCCCCCUCCCCCUCCAUUCCGGAGCGGUGGGAGGGGCGGAGUAUGGCCUCCCGUGCGCCCCCACGCGCGGYCGGCCUAAACAMGGAGCCCGUGGCCGCGAGCGCCGCGACGUUUGGUGGUUGAAUCUCGAGCAUCGCGUCGCGCGCCGUAGCGUUCUCGGACAGCUCGAAGGACCCUUAGGCACAGCAGCCUACCCUUGCGACCCC